Molecule: ribosomal RNA, 509 nt
Filed under: uncultured bacterium
Lineage: Bacteria
Description: bacterial SSU rRNA
Rfam family: Bacterial small subunit ribosomal RNA
Source: RNAcentral
GAGUGGGGGAUAACGUCCCGAAAGGGACGCUAAUACCGCAUGACAUCCUGCCUUUGGACAGGCGGAGAUCAAAGCCGGGGAUCGCAAGACCUGGCGCUUGAAGAGGGGCCCGCGUCUGAUUAGCUAGUUGGUGAGGUAACGGCUCACCAAGGCGACGAUCAGUAUCCGGCCUGAGAGGGCGGACGGACACACUGGGACUGAGACACGGCCCAGACUCCUACGGGAGGCAGCAGUGGGGAAUUGUUCGCAAUGGGCGCAAGCCUGACGACGCAACGCCGCGUGGAGGACGAAGAUCUUCGGGUCGUAAACUCCUGUCGAGUGGAAAGAAUAAUUCGGGGAUGAAUACUCCCCGGAAUUGACGGUACCACUAAAGGAAGCCCCGGCUAACUCCGUGCCAGCAGCCGCGGUAAUACGGGGGGGCAAGCGUUGUUCGGAAUUACUGGGCGUAAAGGGCUCGUAGGCGGCCAACUAAGUCAGACGUGAAAUCCCCAGGCUCAACCUGGGAACUG